UUGUAAUGAGAAUUCAGAAAGUAGAGGUUGGUUUUUAAAACUUUUUUGAAAAUUAAGCUACAAUUUAUUAGUGCCAUACUGUGGUUAGUGGUUUUCGAAAGGCAAAAUGGUCACAUCUAUUGUAAGGAUAUUAUCAUAAGCAAUUUCUGUAUCAUCCCUUUUAAGGAUCCAGACUAAAAAAAGGCAGACUUUUUAUUGUUAUUGUUAUUUUAGUUUUAUCUCUAUAUUGUAUAAUUUGUACAAUUUCUGCUUUAAACGUGUAUUUCACAGACAAAGAUUUAAAGUGAAUGAUAUCAAUGUCAAAUAUAUCACAUAUAAAAACUAAUCUGACAGAAAAAUUCCUUCCCUGUUUUUGUUAGGCCAAAUAAAAAAGUAUGUGUGUUCCAGUUACAUCUGAAAACAAGUUAGGGUAGGUAGGUAGGGAUUUUAUUUUAUUUUAUGGGUUUUUUUUUACAUUGAGUCUAUGGGAGCAACAUUCUGACUUUAACAGUGCUUAAUGAAAAAUGACAAUAAAAUCUUUAGGGUAGGCUAUUUUUAAGCCGAAAAAGUAGGGACGGUAGGGUUACUAGAACCACACAUAUAUUUUUAUUUGGCCUUAUAUUCUCAAAAUUGAGGUCAUCAUCGCAAAUUGAAAAUUAUUAAAAAAAUUGUGCAAUAUAUAAGUUUUAAGAGUAUUAAAAUAAAAUAUAUUUGACAUCAAUAAUAACGACCCAAAUCUUACCAUGUAUUUAUAUACAAUACAUAUAGUGUUUCCAAUUCAUUGCUAUUGCUACAAGUUUCAGGAAAUAUAACAUAUCUUAAGCAUAACUUUAACUUUAAUGGAAAUUAGUUAACAGAAAAAUUUUCAUUUCAGUGGUGACAAUGAAUAUUUCAACCAUAAAAAGUCUGAGAUAAGAAUGUGAUUAAGAAACUGAAAUUAAAGUUAUUUCCCUUGUUUUCAGUUGGAAAGAUACAUAGGACUAGUGUUCCCAAAUUGGCAAUUUUUUUUUGUUUUAGGUUAAAAACAUGUGAUUUAGAAGAAUUGUCAAAAAUAAAAAAUUCUCAUUUCUUUAAAAUUUUUAAAUGUUCAUGACUUGAGAUAUGAUGUCAACGUUUGGACUCGAUUCACUCAUUUUUAAACAAUCACAAAAUGAAAAUUGGUUCUGGUAAUUUAAUGUUUUCAUUAGUAAUGUAAGUGAAAAGAAUGUGCAGAAAGAUUAGUUAAGUGUGUGCAUGUAUUGGUUCAAUAAUUCCCUUGACAUUGUAAUUAUAAGAAAAUAGUUUUGUGACUUCCAUACAUUUGUGUAUUAGACAGAGGUGGAUUUAGGGGGGGGGGGAGUCAAUGGCCCCUAAUUUCUGGAUCUGCCACUGUUAGAUGAACUGUAUUACAAAUAAAAAGGAUAGGUAAUGCUGAAAACAAAUUCCCAGUAGGCCAAUUUUUAUUUGAUUUCAGAAAUUGAUAUUUUUAAUUGAUAUGGCAUAGUUGUAGUAUAUUUGUAUUUCAAAGUUUUAAAAAUGUGUUAUAAAUAUGAUUUAUGAAAUAAUAUUUUUUAUUUCAGAAAGAUUAAGUUGCCUGAUUCAAAUGACAGAUCCAGAAGUUGGAGAACAUCCAGGUAUAUUUCACAUACACUUAUUUCUGUUUUGCCUGUGUGUACAAUAUUUUGGUUGCAUUUUACUAUUUGGUAUUUGGAAAAAUAAAUGAGAAUGAUUUAAUGCAAAGAAAAUUGUUAAGUUCAACCAUUUUUGGCUACAACAUGAUAAAGGGUUCAAAUGUUACAUGAUUGAGCCUUAUAAAAUGCAACAAAAUGAAUAGGAAAGAUUGAUGAUAUGUCAGUUUUCUAGUUCUUACAAAAACAAAAAAACGUUUUUAACAUUUGAGUUUAAAAUAUGUACUUCAACAUCAUUCGCAGCAGUGAACAAGAACUAAAAGAUAUGUCUUUUUAGAUUCAGCCUCAGAAGUACCACCACUGAUAACUGAUUGCUUUCUUCCAGAGAGUAACAGUUCCAAUGAAGGUUUGUUAAUAGAUAUUUAUUGCAUUUAUUAUAUAAUUAUUUGAAUGGCUCCUUUUUAUUUCAACAUGGAAUAGGAAUUAAUACUUUAUGAUAAUUAGCACAACUCUUGGAAGGUAGGCUAAAUUGUAGUAUUGAUGUCUAUCCCUUCACCCAUAUUAUAUGUUAUUCAGGUCUCAGACAGUAUAUACCCUUUCUGAGACCUGAAUUACACAUAUAUUACGGAUUACCCCUGACUUAAUGUUAUUUUCCAGUGCAGGUAUUUGUUGACAACACAUAUAUAUUGAAAACUCCAACCUGAUAUGUUCGGCAUACGUGAAGGAUUUUCUAAUUUGCUGUGAACAUAAUUUUAUCGUGUAUGUAAUAAUUUAUAAAUAACACUUUUAACAUUAAAUUUAAGUAUUAAAAGUGUAAAAUGCGUGAUUUUGUAUCAAAAAUGUAUUAUUGACUGAAGCACGUCAUUAUUUUCCCUCUGUGAGCCUCUGACAGUCUGAUAGCUUUUGACUACGUCACAUAGUAACCGGUGUAAUGAUGACGUUUUUGAGGUUCCAAUUGGGGAUACAAACGUCGUAUAUACCCCGGCAGUUUCCUGAAUAUAUACUGACAUCUGUGUGUUGUUAUCCAAUCACAAACCUCGACACAUUUGUAAUCCGUAAUAUAUUUAUAUAUUCGUUUGUAGAUUUUGUAUGUGCCUAAAUUGGUUUGAUAUCAACAUAAGUUUUAUCAACCAAAUGUUAUGAAACUUAUACACAAUGCUUAUUACCACAAAACUAAAAUAAAGAUUGAAUUUGGGUGGCAUAUCUCUUAACUUUUUAUGAACCUUUACAAGUGAAAAAAUUGCUGUAAUUUUUAUAUGACUGCAAACACUUUCACCUUUCUAGAGUUAAUGUUUACAUUCUCUUUAAAUUAAGUUUGCCAUUCCUAAUGUUAUGAAACUUUUACACAAGGCUUAUUACCACAAAAAACAGUUUAAGUUUGAAUUUGGAUGGCAUAACUUUUAACCUUUUUGAGGUUAUAAACCUUCACAAGUGGAAAAAUUGCUGUAAAUUAUACAACCACAAUUUUUUUUUAAGUAACAAAUAUUCACAAACAAUUUGGAAUGUUUUUGUUCAUAGUCUGUUUUAACCCAGAUUGCCUGCCAAAGAAUGAAACCAGCAUUUUAGAUUUUAGGUUUACGAGUUAUGUGGUUUUAUUCAUUGAAAAAGUUGGUUUUUUUCCAGUUUUUGUACAUGACAACUUUUAAAUUUACAUAUCUGAGGGUUAUGGAGUUUUAUUUAUUAAAAGAAAGGGUUAUUUUCCAGUUUUCUGACCAUGACUCAAAAUUGCUAUUAGCAGUUUCCUUGAAACUUUGGUGAUUUGUUUAUAUCUUUUGAUGUAAGCUCCCAUUCAAAUUCUAUUAAUUUCAGAUUUUAAGUUUCCAGGUUAUGGGGUUUUAUUCAUUAAAUAAGGGGGAUUUAUCAAUAAAAGAGAAACUUUUGUAUGUCCCUCUCUGGAACGCGGCGUAAAUUUACAUAAGGACUUAUUGAAUCCUCCUUGGAAACAGUAAACUUUUAUGUGGAUAGUUCAUUCAGCUAGAAUACUUAAAUUACUCAUUUAUUAUAACAUUUCUAUCUAUGAGUGAAAUUUACCCCAAUUUUUAGCUCACCUGGCCCGAAGGGCCAAGUGAGCUUUUCUCAUCACUUGGCGUCCGGCGUCCGGCGUCCGGCGUCGUCCGGCGUCCGGCGUCGUUUACUUUUACAAAAAUCUUCUCCUCUGAAACUGCUGGGCCAAAUUAAACCAAACUUUGCCAUAAUCAUUAUUAGGGUAUCUAGUUUAAAAAUUGUGUCCGGUGACCUGCCCAACCUUCCAAGAUGGCCGCCAUGGCUAAAAAUAGAACAUAGGGGUAAAAUGCAGUUUUUGGCUUAUAACUCAAAAACCAAAGCAUUUAGAGCAAAUCUGACGGGGUAAAAUUGUUCAUCAGGUCAUGAUCUAUCUGCCCUGACAUUUUCAGAUGAAUCGGACAACCCGUUGUUGGGUUGCUACCCCUGAAUUGGUAAUUUUAAGGAAAUUUUGCUGUUUUUGGUUAUUAUCUUGAAUAUUAUUAUAGAUAGAGAUAAACUGUAAACAGCAAUAAUGUUCAGCAAAGUAAGAUUUACAAAUAAGUCAACAUGACCGAAAUGUUCAGUUAACCCCUUUAAGAGUUAUUGCCCUUUAUAGUCAAUUUUUAACCAUUUUUCGUAAAUCUUAGUAAUCUUUUACAAAAAUCUUCUCCUCUGAAACAACUGGGCCAAAUUAAACCAAACUUGGCCACAACUAUCAUUAGGGUAUCUAGUUUAAAAAAUGUGUGGCGUGACCCACCCACCCAACCAAGAUGGCCGCAACAGCUUAAAAUAGAUCAUAGGGGUAAAAUGCAGUUUUUGGCUUAUAACUCAAAAACCAAAGCAUUUAGAGCAAAUCUGACUGAGCAAAAUUGUUCAUCCGGUCAAGAUCUAUCUGCCCUGAAAUUUUCAGAUGAAUCGGACAACCCGUUGUUGGGUUGCUGCCCCUGAAUUGGUAAUUUUAAGGAAAUUUUGCUGUUUUUGGUUAUUAUCUUGAAUAUUAUUAUAGAUAGAGAUAAACUGUAAACAGCAAUAAUGUUCAGCAAAGUAAAAUUUACAAAUAAGUCAACAUGACCGAAAUGGUCAGUUGACCCGUUUAAGAGUUAUUGCCCUUUAUAGUCAAUUUUUAACCAUUUUUCGUAAAUCUUAGUAAUCUUUUACAAAAAUCUUCUCCUCUGAAACAACUGGGCCAAAUUAAACUAAACUUGGCCACAACUAUCAUUUGGGUAUCUAGUUUAAAAAAUGUGUGGCGUGACCCACCCACCCAACCAAGAUGGCCGCAACAGCUUAAAAUAGAACAUAGGGGUAAAAUGCAGUUUUUGGCUUAUAACUCAAAAACCAAAGCAUUUAGAGCAAAUCUGACACUGUGUUAAAUUGUUCAUCAGGUAAAGAUCUAUCUACCCUGAAAUUUUCAGUUGAAUCGGACAACCCAUUGUUGGGUUGCUGCCCCUGAAUUGGUAAUUAUAAGGAAAUUUUGCUGUUUUUGGUUAUUAUCUUGAAUAUUAUUAUAGAUAGAGAUAAACUGUAAACAGCAAUAAUGUUCAGCAAAGUAAGAUUUAUGAAUAAGUCAACAUGACUGAAAUGGUCAGUUGACCCAUUUAGGAGUUAUUGCCCUUUAUAGUCAAUUUUUAACCAUUUUUCGUAAAUCUUAGUAAUGUUUUACAAAAAUCUUCUCCUCUGAAACUACUGGGCCAAGUUAAUUAUAGAUAGAGAUAAUUGUAAGCAGCUAGAAUAUUCAGUAAAUUAAGAUGUACGAACACAUCACCAUCACCAAAACACAAUUUUGUCAUGAAUCAAUCCGCGUCCUUUGUUUAAUAUUCACAUAGACCAAGGUGAGCGACACAGGCUCUUUAGAGCCUCUAGUUUUAUUUAAUGGCCUAAAAGUUAAUUUAUGAGGAAAUGAGAAGUUUAAAUGGACCAAAAGAGGCCUUAUAAUGUAGACAUUAGAGGUCCAUUUGUGGUAUUAUCAUCUAAUAAAGUCAUCUUUUGUAUCAUAUUCAACUGUUUGUAAAAAGACGAGUUAAAUAUUUGAUCAUUUAUGGUCCACACUAUAUUCUUUCAUGAUGCGACUUAAUUUGGAUUUUUGCUCAAAUCACUGUUGAUGUUGUUUUACAUUAAACUAGAUUUUACUCAAACUAUUGAACUGAUUAUGAAAAAACUUGACAGUAAUGCUUGAAAUACCCAGUUUUAUGAAGGAAAAAAGUCAUAUUCCACAAAAAGGUCUUCUUUAACCAGUUGCAUUUACCUAUUGAUUUUAUUCAUAUAUCACUUUGUUGAAGAAAGGUGUGUUUUUUUUUAAUUUUAAAGAAAGUGUAGAAGAUGCAAUGGCUGUAUCAGUGCAAGAAUUAGUACCAAGUACAGAAAAGCCAUACAACACUCAACCUGUCGAUGAAUCAUCUAAUGACAGUUGUCUAAAUGACCCUGCACCAUCUGCUCUUAAAGAAACUGAUGAGCUGGACUCGGAACUCCCUGAUCAAAUAGGUGAACAUGAUGGUAUGUGAUUUAUGUAUGGUGAAUAAAUGGAUAAAACCCGCUGCUGUUGUCAUUAGUCAAUAUCUCCAAAAUUAAGCUUUUUAUAUCAGUAUUAAAGGUUUGUAACAGAUCUGUACUCUGCAAGUACUAUAGAUUCCUUUAUAUUUGUGGAUUGAGGAAAACUUGAAUUUUCAAUGAUAUUUAAUUUCGUUGUUUUGGCAAUCUGCAUGCAUUCCCCUAGAAAAUCUGUGAUUUGUUGACUAAUUAAUUCCUUUUCCCCUGUACCCAAAAAUCCAUGAAAAAUUGAAAAAUAUGAAAAGAUGAAAAGAUGAAAAGUAAUGAAUCACACAAUGAAUUUAAAUGACUGAUACAGAUAGAGCAUUAGACAUGAAUAGAUGUCAUAGUUACAAACACUAUAAAAUGAUUUACAAUUAUGAUUAUUAAAAAUUAUAAUUUAAAAAAUGAUAAUUAUGGAAAUUGUCAUGAUAUUUUGAUAUUUUAUAGCUAGAUAGUAAAGAUUGAAUUAAAUAGACCAGAUAUUGUUGUUUUAACAAGUUAUUUUUAUUUAAAGAUGAAAUGGAGACAAAAGUUCUUUUUGCAUCAAGGCCUCCUCAACAUUCAGAAUUAGUUACUAGUGUAACAGGAAGUGAAGCAUUAGAGCCAUACAAAACUGAAUCUGAUGGGGAAUCAGUUGACGAAACUUCACUUAAGGAUGUUGCUAAAGACCGUGCUUCAUCUGAACCUGUCAAAAUUGCUCCUCAAAGAGAUUUCCAGUAUAGUACAUCAGAUGAACAAAAGACGGGAGUGCAUUCCACUGUGCCUUUUAAAUUUAAAAGGGAAUAUAAAACAUUUAAUUUAAGAAAGAAAAGCUUUAAUUCCUCUUGCAAGUGGCCACUCUCUAAACCUUCUAUACCAGAAAUGGCCAACGCUGGAUUCUUCUGCAGUGGUAUGCUUAUUAUCCACAUCAUUUAAAUUUGAUUGCAUAUUUGAAAAAUAAUUUACAACUUUCACUCAUAUUUUGACACUCACAAUUUAGACCAAGGUUAAAUUUAGGUUACUAUGUACUUAACAUUUUAUAGAAUAAGGAAAACUGUGGAUUAAUUGAUUAUUGUGGAUACCAAUUUCAGGACAUUAGAAUUUGUGGUUUAUCUUUACCAACAAAAUCCUUAAAUUAAAGAAACUGGUAUUCCAUGAACAAUGAUUAAUCCACAGUUCAUACUUGUAAUGAAAAAAUUGAUGAACAUUAGGGCCAACAUUCGUAAAUAGGUAUAGGAAGAUGUGGUAUGAGUUCCAAUGAGACAACUCUCAAUAACCUAUUUAAUCGCUAUUUUACAGAAAUUUUCAUUUGAUCUUACUGAAUAAUUUCCUUUCUCUGCACAGUAGAGUGAUUUGAAAAUUUAUUCCUAGAAACAAAGGGCCCACAUGCCCAAUGUCAAUGAAGUUUAGAACGUAAAAAAGUGAUGAACAGAUUAUCAUUGGCCAUCUCAACUUGAUUGCUUUUAUCCAUACUGGCUCAAGAGAGAAAAUCAAUCUUGUUGAGAUGAUCAGAUAAUCUAUAAAUACAAACCAGUUAUGAAAUGAACAAAAUAAGUGAAUUAAAUUUUUAGCUCACCUGGCCCAAAGGGCCAAGUGAGCUUUUCUCAUCACUUGGCGUCCGGCGUCCAUAAACUUUUACAAAAAUCUUCUCCCGUGAAACUACUGGGCCAAAUUUAAACAAACUUGGCCACAAUCGUCAUUGGGGUAUCUACUUUAAAGAAUGUGUCCAGUCCCGGCCAACCAACCAAUAUGGCCACCAUGGCUAAAAAUAGAACAUAGGUGUAAAAUGUAGAUUUGGCUUAUAUCUCUGAAACCAAAGCAUUUAGAGCAAAUCUGACAUUGGAUAAAAUUGUUCAUCAGGUCAGAUCUAUCUGCCCUGAAAUUUUCAGACAAAUCGAACAUUCUGUUGUUGGGUUGCUGCUCCUGAAUUAGUAAUUUUAAGGAAAUUUUGCAGUUUUUGGUUAUUAUCUUCAAUAUUAUCUUAGAUAAAGAUAAACUGUAAACAGCAAUUAUGUAUAGCAAAGUACGAUCUACAAAUAAGUCAACUUGACCAAGUUCAUAAUAGAUUUAAGGUAGAUACAUGGUAUACCGCCAUCUUGGAUUGUACAAUCACAGUUCAAAAUCAGUAUAGUUAUUUGCCCAAAUCUGCAAAUUUUGAGACAGAUUUGUAGUUUAAUGAUUAAACUGAUUAUUUAUAUAAGGAAAACUUGAUGAUUUAUUGUAUAAUCGAAAAUAUUUACACAAAUACCAUUUUGUUUUGUUUUAAAAAUAUUUUUUUCAAAUGAGCCAUUUAAGGGGAGAUUACUUUUUUAGUAAAAAAUUUAUACUGGACUAAUAAGGAAAAAAUUUAUUUUUACUUGCAGCAAGAAAACAAGUUUGGUGUCCCCCGUUUUUAUUUUUAUUUUCUUAAAACAUGUAAUAAACAUUCUUCUCACAAUUUAUUUCAAAAUUCUGUCUCAUAGAAUUUUUUUUAUGCACACAAAUGUGUUUUUUCAUGAACAAUCUAACCAAAUUUAGGCAAUUUUCAACAACUCAUAGCUUGAUAAAUAGCACGGUGACCCAUAUUUUUUUUUAACAUAUUUGAAAAAAGCCUAGUAAAAUCUUCAUUUUGGCAAAUUAUAAGAAAAUUCUGUAUCAAAAAGUAUUUACUUAUGAUCUACCUUAAGAUAAUUGUAAGCAGCAAGAUAGUUCAGUAAAGUAAGAUCUACAAACACAUCACCAACACCAAAACACAAUUUUGUGAUGAAUCCAUAUGUGUCCUUUGGUUAAUAUGCAGAUAGACCAACGUCACAAAGGUGAGCAACACAGGCUCUUUAGAGCCUCUAGUUUUGUUUCUACAGAACAUUAUGGCUUUUUUUUUAUUUCUUAAAACAAUGUGGAUGAAAUGGUGGAAGUGCUUCUUAUUUCAAAUGUGAUUCACAAAUAAAAAAAGUAACAUUUUAAAUUUUGAUAGAAUUAUAUGUAUGCAGGCCAUUUCCUGAAAUUGUAAUAAUUAAUCUCACAGAUUGGUCUUUUUUUUUAAAUCACAAUUACAAAUGCAUGGAUACAUUUCUGAAUUCACAGUAUCUAAGUCUGGCAAUAUGCUCUACAAAGAGUUGUUAUAGAAAGCAGAACAUUUUGUCAAUAAGCUGUCAUACUCAGUCUGUAUAAAAGUUAAGCUACUUGUUGUUUCUUAUAGUUAAUCUAUUUUGUGUGUUUUAGGGUGUCUUACAUGGGCUCAGUGCUAUUCCUGUGGAUUAAAGAGGCUUUGGCAAGAAGGAGAUGAUCCAUUUGAUAAACUGUUGCAUGAUAAUUGUUCUCAUCUUAAACACAUAAAGGAAAAAAAGGUCAGCAUGAAAUAACCAAAGAAUUAAAACCUAUAUGGAGUCCUUUAUAUCCAAUGUUGCCAUGGCUAGUUGCAACAUAGGAUGACCUCAAUUGUAUUACAUUGUGUACAAUGUUUUAGUUUCAAAAUGAUUUCUAAUAUGUCUAUCUGACCAACCUGAAUAACAGGAGUCACCAAAAAUACAGAACUGCACAACAGACAUCAAAAACCACUGACACAAGACUCCAAAAACAAAUAAACACACAAAACAAUAGCAAGAAAGACAAACAAAAAGUAAAAUCACAAAAGUACUGAACUCCGAGGAAAAUUAAAAAUGGAAAGUCCCUAAUCAAAUGGCAAAAUAAAAAGGAAUGGAUAACAACUGUAACAUUCCUGACUUGGAACAGGUAUUUUCUUAUGUAGAAAAUUGUGGAUUAAACCUGGUUGUAAAGCUAGCUAAACCUCUCACUUAACAACACAUGGUUCACAUAGUUCAGAUAGACUGACCAGGUAUAGGUCUAAAACUUAACUGAUGAUAUGACCAAAUUGCAAAGUUUCACAUCUUUCUAUAAUAAUUGUUAAAGAUUUAUUUUGGUUAUUUCUGUUGUUGGUUUGAUUUCUCAUUGAUGUGUAUGUUUUAGUUCCUUUUAUUCAUGCUUUGCCUGUCUAACCUCUACAAAGUUGCUGAAGCAAGACUAAGGCAAAAUUUGUAAAUAGAUCAGUUUAUGGUAAACCACUAAGGUUAGUCAGUGGUUUUUUUUUUGUAUUGGCACAUCUCAUUUUUAAGGACAUUUCUUGGUCCUGCUCUAUUGAUUAGAUUAAAUUUAAUUAGACUAUCAUAAUGUAUGGAGGUGUAAUACAACCAAAUCAUGGUACGUCACAUCCAAUGUAUACAAAAAUAGGUUGAAAAAAAAAUUUCCCUUGAAUAUGACAGUUGUAGGUAAUUAAUCCUACAUUUUAUUGUAGUAAAAGAUUUCUGUGUCAUAAACAUAUGUCUUGGGUAUUUCUAAGCACCAUUAUUUUUUUAUUUGGGAUUUCUAUAGAACAUUUUGUAAUCUUUAGGUUACAUGGUGACUAAACCUUGUACACAAUAAAAAUAAGGGGAGAUAUUUGAUUGGUUAAUUUCCAGUGAUGGUCAUUUUCUUAUAUGCAAUGAAAUGUUAUAUGAAUUUUUUUCUAUAGUGUUGGACAGGAUAAAACUUGACUCAUGCCAAGUUUUUCUUUAUUUGAAACAAAGAUAAAUUCUACACUUUUUUUUGAAAAGUGCAAAUUUAACAAAGACUAUAAAUAGGGGAAAAUCAAUGGUGGUAUUACACCUAAUAUGGGAAGCUGUACAUUCACCUUUUCUCUUCUCCUUCUCGCUGUGGUGUCCAAAUCAGUGUUCAACUCUUUAACUUAAAAAGUAACUUUAUUUAAAAGGUGUUUUGUACCAUAACUAAAAAUCGAUUUAUGAUAUUGCUUAAAUUUUUACAUACUUUUUAGUUAUAUUCAUCUCAAGAUCUGUAUACUUUUGGGGAUGAUUCAAAAUUUUAUUUUAGAGUUCUUCAGAUUUUUGUAAAACAAAUUGUCACAUGUCAGGCCGUAUUUCAAAAACCAUUUAUGAUUGUUACUUCAAAAUGUACAGACUUCUCAAUUGUAUUAAUCUUAAGAUCUGUAUACUUUUUGGUGAUGAUUCAAAAUUUUAUUUUAGAGUUAUUGAGGUUUUUGUAAAAAACAUGUCAGGCCAUAUUACAAACACAAUUUAUGAUAAUUACUUUAAACUUUACACACUUCUUAAUUGUAUUAAUCUUAAAACGAUUUAUUUUUUUUUGCUUAAACUUCAAACAAGACGACGAGCGAAUCAUGAGCUCAUGGUGCAGCUGUUUAUUCAGCCAAUAUUUUUAUUGCAUUAAUAAAUAUUUUAUAACAUUUUAUUUAUAUAUGUAUUGUAUCAAUCAUACACACUGAACUUACAUGCUCUGCCAAUUUUAUAGAUCCAAACUUAUAUUUAUGCUAAUUUAAUAUAUUUUUAGGCAUCUGGUGAAGUUUAUGAUAGUACCAACCCUUAGCUAACAGAAUUGGUGGCAAAAUCAAUGUUGAAAUGGAGUAAAAACAAUGAAACAUGCUUUUGUUAGACUACCUGCAUGAUUUCAAAUUAUUCCAUAUGACAAUGAAACGACUUCUUUGUACAGCUAACGAUAGUUCCAUGAGCAGAUAGUUGUUGAUCUGAUGAUAACAUUUUAUGUGAUUCUUUUAAAACAAGAAUUGGGCCAAAGGGUAGUGUUCAGUUUUAUAGAAAGAUGUUGAACUAAGCGUUGAUUUCAAAUACUGCUAUUUUAAGGAAGGAAGUCAUUUUGAAAUGCAUCAAAUGCAUUUUCACUCAUUAAUCAUAUAUCUUGGUAGCUGCGGAACCGUAUCCCUUAUGUCCUUAUGUGGUUUUUUUUACUAUUUCUGAGGACCAUAGAGCUACGGAUUUUUCCUAUUUCAAAACAUUCUGAAUUGCGACUCAGGUUCAGGUCGCACUUUACACUAUUAUCUGAUUAUUCACAUUUGGAUACAUUUUCCGCCUAUUUUGUUCAGCCAUAUUGAAUCUUGUUGUGACGUCACGAUAAAGAAGAAAAGAUAACUCUUAUUGGAAAACACAUGUUGGUUUGUUUACGUUGUCUUUUAUUGUAAUUUGAAUACUUUUUUUUUUUAAUGAAAUAACUUUUAAUUAAAUUUAAAUACUAAUGGAAAUAAUAAUCCUUCAAAGUUAUUAAAAUAUUUCGUGUGAAAUAAUGUUGUAAAGCAUAAAAAUCACUUGAUUAUUGCUUAGAAAUAAGUAAACAAACUAACGCUUGUCUUCCUAUAAGAGUUAUCUGUUCUUGUUUUUCAUAGGCGUACCUUGGUACAUGUUGUAGUAGUACUGGUUAUGAAAAAAAAAUACAUUGGAAGGUAUGACCAGUAUAUUGUGUUGUGGAGUUAUUAAUGGUUAUGCUGCUGUUAUUUUGCUGUUAUUUUGUUUGACACAUUUGUAUGUAAUAUUUUCUAAACUGUAAAUAUGGUGAAUCACUCGAUAAUGAGUCUAAAUAUAUAAUAUAAAGAUGUUAUACUCUUUGAAACAGUUAGAGAUAUUGUAUAUAAGUUAUUAAAGUCUUUCAGAUAUGUUUGCUGUCUUUCAUAUUAAUUUAAAAUUAAGUGAUACAUUAUUUUUUUAAGUUAAUUUUGUGAUAUCUUUGUCUUUCAUGCAAUGCAAUCUUGGAGAAUAGCUAGAUUAGUUUGUUUAUUGAAUAUUGUUAUAUUGCUUAUAUUUGUAAUUUUUUCAUGCAUAUGUCAAUUUUAUAUAUCAGUAAAAUCUAUCCAGUAGUAUACAAUUUGUCCCCCAGACUUUGUUAUGAAUUUUAAAGUCUUUUUAAUAUGGUAGUUCUCCUAAUGUUGAAAUAUCAUUAUUGAAAUAAUUUCAAAAAUAGGAAAAUCUCAGCCUUAUGUUUGCCUAAAGCAAAUUUUUAGCUCACCUGGCCCGAAGGGCCAAGUGAGCUUUUCUCAUCACUUGGCGUCCGGCGUCCGUCGUCGUCCGUCGUCGUCGUCUGUCGUCGUCCUGCGUCCGGCGUUAACUUUUACAAAAAUCUUCUCCUCUGAAACUACUAGGCCAAAUUUAACCAAACUUGGCCACAAUCAUCAUUGGGGUAUCUAGUUUAAAAAUUGUGUCCGGUGACCCCGCCAACUAACCAAGAUGGCCGCCAUGGCUAUAAAUAGAACAUAGGGGUAAAAUGCAGUUUUUGGCUUAUAACUCAAAAACCAAAGCAUUUAGGGCAAAUCUGACAGGGGGUAAUAUUGUUAAUCAGGUUAAGAUCUAUCUGCUCUGAAAUUUUCAGAUGAAUCUGACAUUCCGUUGUUAGGUUGCUGCCCCUGAAUUGGUAAUUUUAAGGAAAUUUUGAUGUUUUUGGUUAUUAUCUUGAAUAUUAUUUUAGAUAGAGAUAAACUGUAAAAAGCAAUAAUGUUCAGCAAAGUAAGAUCUACAAAUAAGUCAACAUGACCAAAAUGAUCAGUUGACCACUUUAGGAGUUAUUGCCCUUUAUAGUCAAUUUUUAACCAUUUUUCGUAAAUCUUAGUAAUCUUUUAGAAAAAUCUUCUCCUCUGAAACUGCUGGACCAAAUUAUUUGAAACUUGGCCACAAUCAUCUAACCAACUAACCAAGAUGACCGCCAUGGCUAUAAAUAGAACAUAGGGGUAAAAUGCAGUUUUUGGCUUAUAACUCAAAAACCAAAGCAUUUAGAGCAAAUCUGACAUGGAUAAAAUUGUUAAUCAGGUGAAGAUCUAUCUGCCCUGAAAUUUUCAGAUGAAUUGGACAACCUGUUUUUGGGUUGCGGCCCCUGAAUUGUUAAUUUUAAGGAAAUUUUGCUGUUUUUGGUUAUUAUAUUGAAUAUUAUUAUAGAUAUAGGUAAACUGUAAACAGCAAUAAUGUUCAGCAAGGUCAGAGUUACAAAUAAGUCAACAUGACCAAAAUGGUCAGUGACCUCUUUAGGAGUUAUUGCCCUUUAAAGUCAAUUUUUAACCAUUUUUCGUAAAUUUUAUAUAUCUUUUACUAAAAUCUUCUUCUCUGAAACUGCUGUGCCAAAUUGAUCCAAACUUGGCCACAAUCAUCUUUGGGGUUUCUUGUUUAAAAAUGUGUCCGGUGACCUGGCCAUCAAACCAAGAUGGCCGCCACGGCUAAAAAUAGAACAUAGGGGUAAAAUGCAGUUUUUGGCUUAUAACUCAAAAACCAAAUAAUUUAGAGAAAAUCUGACAUGAAGUAAAAUUGUUAAUCAGGUCAAGAUCUAUCUGCCCUGAAAUUUUCAGAUGAAUUGGACAACCUGUUUUUGGGUUGCGGCCCCUGAAUUGGUAAUUUUAAGGACAUUUUGCUGUUUUUGGUUAUUAUAUUGAAUAUUAUUAUAGAUAUAGGUAAACUAUAAACAGCAAUAAUUUUCAGCAAAGUAAGAUCUACAAAUAAGUAAACAUGAACGAAAUGGUCAAUUGACCCCUGUAGGAGUUAUUGACCUUUGUAGUCAAUUUUCAAUCUGCUUCCUUUAUUUAAUAUUCACAUAGACCAAGGUGAGCGACACAGGCUCUUUAGAGCCUCUAGUUUAAUAAAAUUACCAAUAAGUGUCCGAAGAGGUUUUAAAGGUUCUGUGAUUCCAUACUCUCUUUUUUUUUAUGAAUUUCAAUAAGGGCUUAAUUUGGCCCAAUUCGUUUUCAUUGCUAAAUUUGAACUUUGUUUUAGAUUUCUAUUUUGAGAUUGCUUAUAAGUUCGAACUCUUGUGUGUAAAAUUAAAAGCCAAUACAAUUUGAUCCAAGAAGUUAUGAUAAAUGCAGUUGUGUCAUCAAAACAGGGCUCUCACUGGUUCAUAUGAAAAAUAUGUGCUGUCAUUUCAUGCUUAUGUUUUUGAACUGACAAAAUUAAUAGUGUUUAAACAUUGUAAUCCAACCUUUAUGUUUAAAUAAAACAAAUAAUUUAUAAAGUUUAACUUUGCUGCACUUUCAUAGAAACUUUGAAAAAAUGCAUUUAAGGUAUAAUUUGAUUUGCAUUUUUUAUGCCCCACCUACGAUAGUAGAGGGGCAUUAUGUUUUCUGGUCUGUGCGUCCGUCCGUCCAUCUGUCCAUUCGUUCGUCCGUCCGUCUGUCCGUUCGUCCGUCCGUCUGUCCCGCUUCAGGUUAAAGUUUUUGGUCAAGGUAGUUUUUGAUGAAGUUUAAGUCCAAUCGACUUCAAACUUAGUACAAGUGUCCCCUAUGAUAUGAUCUUUCUAAUUUUAAUGCCAAAUUAGAGUUUUUACCCCAAUUUCACGGUCCACUGAACAUGGAAAAUGAUAGUGCGAGUGGGGCAUUCGUGUACUGAGGACACAUUCUUGUUUACAAGAUAUUUUACAGAUCCCUAAUACUCAUUGUACAUCCUUCUUUGUUAUUGUUUUCAUUUGAAAUGAACUAUUGAGGUAUAUUUCACAGAAUUUGUCAUGGGAUGAUGACUUGUCAUGCCAUAAACUUACGAAAUGACAAGGGACAUUUUAUUAAUUUCAUAACAAUCCUCCAAAUAUAAAAAAAUAGAUGUGGUAUGAUUGCCAAUGAGACAACUCUUUAAAAGAGACCAAAUGACACAGAAAUUAACAACUGUAGGUCACUUUACGGGCACAUACUUACAGAAUGUGGCAAGGUUAAACAUGUUAGCAUGAUCUCAACCCUCCUCCUAACCUAGGACAGGGAUGUAACAGUACAAUAUAAAAAUAAACUAUAAAAAUGAGUUGCAAAAGACUAAACUCAUCAGAUGGUUACAAAUAGAAAUACAGAUAAAAAAAGAAUACCAUUUUGGAAAUUAUUGAAUUAACACAAUUUUCAUGCUAUUAUCAUACAGUAAACAUUAAGAGUUAUUUACCCUGACUAU
This 15748-nucleotide long non-coding RNA is filed under the name Mytilus galloprovincialis (Mediterranean mussel). Lineage: Eukaryota; Metazoa; Mollusca; Bivalvia; Mytilida; Mytilidae. The record is from RNAcentral.